RNAcentral lists this ribosomal RNA (254 nucleotides) under uncultured bacterium. RNAcentral's name for it is "partial 16S ribosomal RNA". It matches the Rfam family "Bacterial small subunit ribosomal RNA", at positions 524 to 776 of the family's 1533-position model. The record is from RNAcentral.
UACGUAGGGGGCAAGCGUUGUCCGGAAUCAUUGGGCGUAAAGAGCGCGUAGGCGGCCCUGUAAGUCCGCUGUGAAAGUCAAGGGCUCAACCCUUGGAUGCCGGUGGAUACUGCAGGGCUAGAGUCCGGAAGAGGCGAGUGGAAUUCCUGGUGUAGCGGUGAAAUGCGCAGAUAUCAGGAGGAACACCGGUGGCGAAGGCGGGUCUCUGGGCCGUAACUGACGCCUGAGGAGCGAAAGCGUGGGGAGCGAACAGG